AGGAGUGAGUCAGUGCAGCUGCACCUGCCCCAACCUGUGGACCCACAGUUCGGUACAUGGCCCAUCACUGGGCUGAGAGACUCAACCAAUUUCUUGAUUUAUUUAUUUUUGAGAGAGAGAGAGAAGGAGCAUGAAAUGGUGGGGUGUGGAGAGAGAGAAGGAGAGAGAAUCUCAAGCCAACUCCUUGCUGAGCAAGGAGCCACAUGCGGCCCUCAAUCUCAAGACCCUGAGAUCAUGACCUGAGCCGAAAUCAAGAGUAGGUCGCUUAACCAACUGAGCCACUGAGGCACCCCAAACCUUCUACUUCUAAAAAAAAUUGCCCAUUUUUUUUGGAGAAUGAAAUAACCACCUGUCAUAUCCCGCUGUUUGAAGAUCUGAGAUGUUUGCACUUCAGUCCCAAUCAUCCUGACAUUGUCACUAAUAUAACAAGAUCUAAAUAUUUUCUCACCUGGGGAGCCCAGAAGUUUACUUGUGGGUCAACAUUACUGGGAGGUGGAUGUGGGGAACUGUUGGAACUGGGCCCUUGGAUUUUGUGAUGAUACUUGGGCGAUGAGGAAUGACAUGGUGCUUGACUCGGAGGGAAUUUUUCUACUUUUUUGUAUCAAAGAGGACAAUCAGUGCAGUCUCUUUACCUCCUCCCCACUGUCGCCUCAGUAUGCGGGAAGGCCUCUGGGCCACGUGGGGGUGUUCCUGGAUUAUGAGCGUGAUGUAGUGAGCUUUGUGCAUGUGGCCAAUAGCUCCCUCAUUUGCAGUUUCCUCUCCUCUUCCUUCUCUUGCCCUCUCUGACCUUUGCUCUGCUCUGCACCCUCAUAAUGAGGGAUAUGUCUGAACCUGACCACAAGUGUCAGGAAGGCCUUACCCAAGGUAUCUCGGGUAAAUGCCUGGUUGAUUUUCUUUCCCUUUCUCCUUUAUCAUAUUGACUACUUUUAAAGGGUUGAUAAUUGUGUCUAUAUUUGUUUCCAUUUUCUCUAAAUAAAAACAAUCUCUCUUAGAAAAC
Molecule: long non-coding RNA, 997 nt
Organism: Mirounga angustirostris (Northern elephant seal)
Lineage: Eukaryota; Metazoa; Chordata; Mammalia; Carnivora; Phocidae
Exons: 3
Source: RefSeq, a predicted model, not a curated record